GGCGUAGGGGGCCAGCGUUGUUCGGAAUUACUGGGUGUAAAGGGUUCGUAGGCGGUGUGGCAAGUCGGGAGUGAAAUCUCUGGGCUCAACCCAGAGGCUGCUUCCGAAACUGCUGUGCUUGAGUGUGGGAGAGGCGCGUGGAAUUGCAGGUGUAGCGGUGAAAUGCGUAGAUAUCUGCAGGAACACCCGUGGCGAAAGCGGCGCGCUGGACCACUACUGACGCUGAAGAACGAAAGCUAGGGGAGCAAACAGG
This 253-nucleotide ribosomal RNA is filed under the name uncultured bacterium. RNAcentral's name for it is "partial 16S ribosomal RNA". It matches the Rfam family "Bacterial small subunit ribosomal RNA", at positions 524 to 776 of the family's 1533-position model. The record is from RNAcentral.